UACGUAGGGGGCUAGCGUUGUCCGGAAUCAUUGGGCGUAAAGAGCGUGUAGGCGGCCCGGUAAGUCAGCUGUGAAAGUCAAGGGCUCAACCCUUGAAUGCCGGUUGAUACUGUCGGGCUAGAGUCCGGAAGAGGCGAGUGGAAUUCCCGGUGUAGCGGUGAAAUGCGUAGAUAUCAAGAGGAACACCUGAGGUGAAGACGGGUUGCUGGGCUGACACUGACGCUGAGGCGCGAAAGCCAGGGGAGCAAACGGG
Molecule: ribosomal RNA, 253 nt
Filed under: uncultured bacterium
Lineage: Bacteria
Description: partial 16S ribosomal RNA
Rfam family: Bacterial small subunit ribosomal RNA
Source: RNAcentral